CUCUCCUAGACAGAUGUGUUCGGUCAUCUCCUCUAAGCAAUACUUAAUGUCUCUAUAGACAAAAAAGGGUUCUACUAAAACGAACACUGCAAAGCUGGCAUGAUGAGGUCCUUCUUGAACGUUAUGCCACAUGGAUGCCCUUCACAACAGCCCCUGGGGGAUGUGUUCGGAGCCCUUCAUCUCAUCAAACCCUGCUGCUGUCUUCAAAACAAGAGACGCACAAAGGAAAACACUCAACUUUAAGGAAACAUUGCAAAUGUUUGAUGGCGUGGAUUAGCUGAAGUGUUACAAAAGAAGCAGUAAACCAAUGACAAAUAUAUUUAUUUUAUUUUAUUAAA
Carassius carassius (crucian carp) is the source of this 338-nucleotide long non-coding RNA. RefSeq lists it as uncharacterized. NCBI's taxonomy places the organism in Eukaryota, Metazoa, Chordata, Actinopteri, Cypriniformes, Cyprinidae. The record is from RefSeq and is a predicted model, not a curated record. The transcript has 2 exons.